RNAcentral lists this long non-coding RNA (1105 nucleotides) under Sinocyclocheilus grahami. Its description in RNAcentral is "lncRNA (ENSSGRG00000052005.1)". Lineage: Eukaryota; Metazoa; Chordata; Actinopteri; Cypriniformes; Cyprinidae. The record is from RNAcentral.
CACUAAAUGUUCCUUCAACAGGCCAGCUGCCACAGCUCUUGCAGGUGAUGGGCCAAAGCAGCUGCCAACACUGUGAGACCAAACAAGGACCAUCAGGCGAUCCAGGUCCCCCAGGCCCAACAGGCCCAUCUGGACCCCCAGGAUAUCCCGGCAUGGCAGGGUCUCCAGGCUACCCGGGACCUCCUGGGAGGCAGGGACCUGAAGGGGUAAAAGGUGAUAUUGGCCCAGUGGGUAUGAAAGGUACUAAGGGACAGGGUGAAAUGGGUUUGCCAGGUCCACCUGGUCCAGCAGGUAUAAAAACAAAUAUAUUCAUGCAUGAUAAUAAUCCCCUUAGUUGUAUUUUUUAGUCUUUUGCAAGCACGUCCAGAAGUAAUUUUCUCUUCCACAGGUUUGCAGGGGCCACGUGGGGAUGACGGUGAGGGAUAUCCUGGGCCUUCUGGUCCACUAGGAAAACCUGGCACUCCGGGUACCCCAGGCAAACGUGGGCCCCCGGGACCCAUGGGGGUCUGUGACCCAUCCUCAUGUUAUCAAGCCUAUGGCUUUCGGGACGAUCCUUUCAGGAAAGGACCUAACUUUUAGCAACGGGACAGUGGGAUCGUACUGAUUCUGUACAGUCUUUUCUCUCUCAAAUGGACCUAUCUGGUGCUCAGCCUUGACCUCAAGAACUCAUAACCUCUAAAGAACGAUGAUCUUGACUUUAAAUAUGUGAUGUGUUUUCCUGUUUGAGAAUCUUGUGUUGGAUGUGUUAAAUCAUGAAUCCAUGGUUUUGAUUGAUUUUGAUGCAUGUCCUGGCUGCUCUUUUCCAAAAGGGCUGUUGGGCUCCAGUAGAACUCAUGCAUUAUAUUCCAAGUUUUCUGAAGCCUUUGUGCAAGAAACGGACUAAAGGUUCAAUCAUUGCUUGGUGAAAAUGCUCUUAAACAUCAUGCAUGUUCACGUACUGUACAUACAUCUUUGAUUCUCUCGUGUCCUGUGACCAAUUUAAUUUUCAUUUUCAACUUUCGUUUUUGGGUGAAUUGUUCCUUUGAAGAAAAACUGCUAUACUGUAUCCACGGCACUGCCCCAGGCAAGCUACCUCUGUACAGGAUGUGAAGCAAUUCGACGGGCU